UUUUUUGGAAUAAAAAUUUAAAAUUUAAUCUGCUCACUGAAUUUUAAAGAGCCGCAGUAUUUUGACUGUGCAAAGGUAGCAUAAUAAAUAGUUUUUUAAUUGAAAACUGGAAUGAAUGAUUGGAUGAAAAAUUGACUGUCUUCAAUUUUAUAUUUAGAAUUUAAUUUUUUAGUCAAAAAGCUAAAAUUUUUUUAUUAGACGAGAAGACCCUAUAGAUUUUUAUUUUUUUCUUUUUAAAUUUUGUUUAAUAUUAAUUAAUUAAUUAUAAAAAAAUUUUAUUGGGGUGAUAUUAAAAUAUAUAUAACUUUUAAAUUUAUUAAUUAUUUAUAAAUAAAUUUUUGAUCCUUUUUAUUGAUUAUUAGAUUAAAUUACCUUAGGGAUAACAGCGUAAUUUUAUUGGAAAGUUCAUAUUGAAAGUAAAGUUUGCGACCUCGAUGUUGAAUUAAAAAAAUGAAUGGGAGUAGAAGAUCAUUAAAUUAGUCUDUUCGACUAUUAAAUUUU
RNAcentral lists this ribosomal RNA (501 nucleotides) under Echmepteryx madagascariensis. RNAcentral's name for it is "partial 16S ribosomal RNA". Lineage: Eukaryota; Metazoa; Arthropoda; Insecta; Psocodea; Lepidopsocidae. The record is from RNAcentral.